AUGAACGCUGGCGGCUGGCCUAACACAUGCAAGUCGAGCGGCAGCGCGGGGCAACCCUGGCGGCAGCGGCGGACGGGUGAGGAAUGCAUCGGAAUCUGCCCUGGUGUGGGGGAUAACGUAGGGAAACUUACGCUAAUACCGCAUACUCCCUACGGGGGAAAGCGGGGGACCUUCGGGCCUCGCGCAGCAAGAUGAGCCGAUCCGGAUUAGCUAGUUGGUGGGGUAAAGGCCUACCAAGGCGACGAUCCGUUAGCUGGUCUGAGAGGAUGAUCAGCCACACUGGGACUGAGACACGGCCCAGACUCCUACGGGAGGCAGCAGUGGGGAAUAUUGGACAAUGGGGGCAACCCUGAUCCAGCCAUGCCGCGUGAGUGAAGAAGGCCUUAGGGUUGUAAAGCACUUUCAGUAGGGUGAUGAAAAUUUAGUCUUUAAUAACGGCUAGCCGUGACGUUACCUACAGAAGAAGCACCGGCAAACUCCGUGCCAGCAGCCGCGGUAAUACGGAGGGUGCGAGCGUUAAUCGGAAUUACUGGGCGUAAAGCGCGCGUAGGCGGCCUGAUAAGUUGGAUGUGAAAGCCCUGGGCUCAACCUAGGAACUGCAUUCAAAACUGUCAGGCUAGAGUAUGGUAGAGGAUAGUGGAAUUUCCGGUGUAGCGGUGAAAUGCGUAGAGAUCGGAAGGAACAUCAGUGGCGAAGGCGGCUAUCUGGACCAAUACUGACGCUGAGUGCGAAAGCGUGGGGAGCAAACAGGAUUAGAUACCCUGGUAGUCCACGCCGUAAACGAUGUCAACUAGCCGUUGGGGGGCUUGUCCCCUUUAGUGGCGCAGCUAACGCGAUAAGUUGACCGCCUGGGGAGUACGGCCGCAAGGUUAAAACUCAAAUGAAUUGACGGGGGCCCGCACAAGCGGUGGAGCAUGUGGCUUAAUUCGAUGCAACGCGAAGAACCUUACCAGCCCUUGACAUCCUGUGAACUUUCUAGAAAUAGAUUGGUGCCUUCGGGAACACAGUGACAGGUGCUGCAUGGCUCGUCAGCUCGUGUCGUGAGAUGUUGUGUUAAGUCCCGCAACGAGCGCAACCCCUGUCCUUAGUUGCCAGCACGUAAUGGUGGGAACUCUAAGGAGACUGCCGGUGACAAACCGGAGGAAGGUGGGGAUGACGUCAAGUCAUCAUGGCCCUUAUGGGCUGGGCUACACACGUGCUACAAUGGGCAGUACAGAGGUCGCAACCCCGCGAGGGUGAGCUAAUCCCACAAAGCUGCUCUUAGUCCGGAUUGCAGUCUGCAACUCGACUGCAUGAAGUUGGAAUCGCUAGUAAUCGUAGAUCAGAACUGCUACGGUGAAUACGUUCCCGGGCCUUGUACACACCGCCCGUCACACCAUGGGAGUUGGUUGCUCCAGAAGUAGGUAGUCUAACCGCAAGGAGGGCGCUUACCACGGAGUGGCAAUGAAUGGGG
RNAcentral lists this ribosomal RNA (1453 nucleotides) under uncultured prokaryote. Its description in RNAcentral is "partial 16S ribosomal RNA". It matches the Rfam family "Bacterial small subunit ribosomal RNA". The record is from RNAcentral.